RNAcentral lists this ribosomal RNA (498 nucleotides) under uncultured bacterium. Its description in RNAcentral is "partial 16S ribosomal RNA". It matches the Rfam family "Bacterial small subunit ribosomal RNA", at positions 28 to 507 of the family's 1533-position model. The record is from RNAcentral.
GACGAACGCUGGCGGCGUGCCUAAUACAUGCAAGUCGAGCGGACGAAUCGAAAGCUUGCUUUUGAUUCGUUAGCGGCGGACGGGUGAGUAACACGUGGGCAACCUGCCCUGUAGACGGGGAUAACACCGAGAAAUCGGUGCUAAUACCGGAUAACACGAAAUGUCGCAUGACGUUUCGUUGAAAGACGGCGCAAGCUGUCGCUACAGGAUGGGCCCGCGGCGCAUUAGCUAGUUGGUGAGGUAACGGCUCACCAAGGCGACGAUGCGUAGCCGACCUGAGAGGGUGAUCGGCCACACUGGGACUGAGACACGGCCCAGACUCCUACGGGAGGCACCAGUAAGGAAUCUUCCGCAAUGGACGAAAGUCUGACGGAGCAACGCCGCGUGAGCGAAGAAGGCCUUCGGGUCGUAAAGCUCUGUUGUUAGGGAAGAACAAGUAACGCAGUAACUGGCGUUACCGUGACGGUACCUAACGAGAAAGCCACGGCUAACUACGUG